Molecule: ribosomal RNA, 253 nt
Filed under: uncultured bacterium
Lineage: Bacteria
Description: partial 16S ribosomal RNA
Rfam family: Bacterial small subunit ribosomal RNA
Source: RNAcentral
CACGUAGGAGGCGAGCGUUGUCCGGAAUCAUUGGGCGUAAAGGGUGCGUAGGCGGCGCGGUAAGUCGGGUGUGAAAUCUCGGAGCUUAACUCCGAAACUGCAUUCGAUACUGCCGUGCUUGAGGACUGGAGAGGAGACUGGAAUUUACGGUGUAGCGGUGAAAUGCGUAGAUAUCGUAAGGAAGACCAGUGGCGAAGGCGGGUCUCUGGACAGUUCCUGACGCUGAGGCACGAAGGCCAGGGGAGCAAACGGG